RNAcentral lists this ribosomal RNA (500 nucleotides) under uncultured bacterium. RNAcentral describes it as "partial 16S ribosomal RNA". It matches the Rfam family "Bacterial small subunit ribosomal RNA", at positions 30 to 523 of the family's 1533-position model. The record is from RNAcentral.
AUUGAACGCUGGCGGCACGCUUUACACAUGCAAGUCGAACGGUAACAGGGAGCUUGCUCCGCUGACGAGUGGCGAACGGGUGAGUAAUAUAUCGGAACGUGCCCAAGAGUGGGGGAUAACGUAGCGAAAGUUACGCUAAUACCGCAUACGAUCCAAGGAUGAAAGCAGGGGACCUUCGGGCCUUGUGCUCCUGGAGCGGCCGAUAUCUGAUUAGCUAGUUGGUGAGGUAAAGGCUCACCAAGGCGACGAUCAGGAGCUGGUCUGAGAGGACGACCAGCCACACUGGAACUGAGACACGGUCCAGACUCCUACGGGAGGCAGCAGUGGGGAAUUUUGGACAAUGGGGGCAACCCUGAUCCAGCAAUGCCGCGUGAGUGAAGAAGGCCUUCGGGUUGUAAAGCUCUUUUGUCAGGGAAGAAAAGGGUACGGCUAAUAUCCGUGCCUCAUGACGGUACCUGAAGAAUAAGCACCGGCUAACUACGUGCCAGCCGCCGCAGUAA